This 427-nucleotide ribosomal RNA is filed under the name uncultured bacterium. RNAcentral's name for it is "bacterial SSU rRNA". It matches the Rfam family "Bacterial small subunit ribosomal RNA", at positions 355 to 774 of the family's 1533-position model. The record is from RNAcentral.
UGGGGAAUUUUGGACAAUGGGCGAAAGCCUGAUCCAGCCAUGCCGCGUGAGUGAAGAAGGCCUUCGGGUUGUAAAGCUCUUUUAGUCGGAAAGAAAGAGUUGCAAUGAAUAAUUGUGAUUUAUGACGGUACCGACAGAAAAAGCACCGGCUAACUACGUGCCAGCAGCCGCGGUAAUACGUAGGGUGCGAGCGUUAAUCGGAAUUACUGGGCGUAACGGGUGCGCAGGCGGUCUUGCAAGUCAGAUGUGAAAGCCCCGGGCUUAACCUGGGAAUUGCGUUUGAAACUACAAGACUAGAGUGCAGCAGAGGGGAGUGGAAUUCCAUGUGUAGCAGUGAAAUGCGUAGAGAUGUGGAAGAACACCGAUGGCGAAGGCAGCUCCCUGGGUUGACACUGACGCUCAUGCACGAAAGCGUGGGGAGCAAACA